RNAcentral lists this ribosomal RNA (1797 nucleotides) under Durio zibethinus. RNAcentral describes it as "SSU rRNA". It matches the Rfam family "Eukaryotic small subunit ribosomal RNA". Lineage: Eukaryota; Viridiplantae; Streptophyta; Magnoliopsida; Malvales; Malvaceae. The record is from RNAcentral.
CCUGGUUGAUCCUGCCAGUAGUCAUAUGCUUGUCUCAAAGAUUAAGCCAUGCAUGUGUAAGUAUGAACUAAUUCAGACUGUGAAACUGCGAAUGGCUCAUUAAAUCAUUUAUAGUUUGUUUGAUGGUAUCUACUACUCGGAUAAUCGUAGUAAUUCUAGAGCUAAUACGUGCAACAAACCUCGACUUCUGGAAGGGAUGCAUUUAUUAGAUAAUAGGUCUAUGUGGGCUAUGCUCGUUGCUUUGAUGAUUCAUGACAAAUCGACGGAUCGCACAGCCUUUGUGUCGGUGAUGCAUCAUUCAAAUUUUUGCCCUAUCAACUUUUGAUGGUAGGAUAGUGGCCUACUAUGGUAGUGACGGGUGAUGGAGAAUUAGGGUUCGAUUUCGAAGAGGGAGCCUAAGAAACGGCUACCACAUCCAAGGAAGGCAGUAGGCGCGCAAAUUACCCAAUCCUGACUUAGGGAGGUAGUGACAAUAAAUAACAAUACUGGGCUCUAUGAGUCUGGUAAUUGGAAUGAGUACAAUCUAAAUCCCUUAACGAGGAUCCAUUGGACGGCAAGUCUGGUGCCAGCAGCCAUGGUAAUUCCAGCUUCAAUAGCGUAUAUUUAAGUUGUUGCAGUUAAAAAGCUCGUAGUUGGAACUAGGCUUGGGUCAUCUGGUUUGCCUCAUGAUGAGCACCGAUCUACUCAUCCCUACUGCCGGUGAUGUGUUCCUGGACUUAAUUGCUCGAGUCGUUCCUCCGACGCUAUUACUUUGAAGAAAUUAGAGUGCUCAAAACAGGCCUACGCUUGCAUAUAUUAGCAUGGGAUAACAUCAUAAAAUUUUCGUCCUAUUGUGUUGGCCUUCAGGAUCGGAGUAAUGAUUAACAGGGACAGUCGGAGGCAUUCGUAUUUCAUAGUCAGAAGUGAAAUUCUUGGAUUUAUGAAAGACAAACAACUGCGAAAGCAUUUGCGAAGGAUGUUUUCAUUAAUCAAGAACGAAAGUUGAGGGCUCGAAGAUGAUUAGAUACCAUCUUAUUCUCAACCAUAAACGAUGCCGACCAGGGAUCGGUGGAUGUUACUUUUAGGACUCCGCCGGCACUUUAUGAGAAAUCAAAGUCUUUGGGUUCCGGGGGGAGUAUGGUCGCAAGGCUGAAACUAAAAAGAAUUGAUGGAAGGGUGCCACCAAGAGUGGAGCUUGCGGCUUAAUUUGAGUCAACAUGGGGAAACUUACCAGGACCAGACAUAGUAAGGAUUGACAGACUAAGAGCUCUUUCUUGAUUCUAUGGGUGGUGGUGGAUGGCCGUUCUUAGUUGGUGGAGCGAUUUGUCUAGUUAAUUUCGUUAACGAACGAGACCUCAGCCUGCUAACUAGCUACGCGAAGGAGAUCCUUCAUGGCUAGCUUCUUAGAGGGACUAUGGCCAUUUAAGCCAAAGAAGUUUGAGGCAAUAAUAGGUUUGUGAUGCCCUUAGAUGUUCUGGGCCGCACGCGCGCUACACUGAUGUAUUCAACGAGUCUAUAACCUUGGUUGACAAGCCCGGGUAAUCUUUGAAAUUUCAUCGUGAUGGGGAUAGAUCAUUGCAAUUGUUGGUCUUCAACGAGGAAUUCCUAGUAAGCGCGAGUCAUCAUCUCGUGUUGAAUAUAUCCCUGCCCUUUAUACACACCGCCCGUCGCUCCUACCGAUUGAAUGGUCCGGUGAAGUGUUUGAUCACGACGACGUGGACGGUUCGUCGCCUGUGACAUCACGAGAAGUCCACUAAACCUUAUCAUUUAGAUGAAGGAGAAGUCGUAACAAGGUUUCCGUAGGUGAACCUGCGGAAG